AUGACUGCUCCCAGAGCUCUGAAAUGGGAUAAGAGUUCACUUGCCUGGUUUCUGCUUUGGCUAAGGUUUCAGUUGGCUUUGAUCAUCCCAAUGCACUCCUUUUUUCUCUCAUGGCAGGGAAGUGCUGGAGGGAGGCUAAAAUUCUCAUAUAAGAAAUCCACCUCAGGUCCAGUGGGACCUUGGCUACUGAAACCAAUUGUGUUGCUUCUGCUGCUGAAAUUAGUUAUGAGCUGCCUUUGGAGGAAACAGAUGCUGCCUGGGAACUUCUGAGUACUUAAAUCAUAUAACUAGAACAUUCUUAUACUGCUUUCAAAGUCUCAUGAUUGCUAAUGUAAAUGGAAGUGGUGUGGGAGCCAUACAAUACAACAUUGUUUGAACACAUCUUAAUGUUGUUUCAGCUGGGAGUGGGAUAUGGGGAAAGCACUGAGCUAAUGAAAGUAUCAGUUUUGCAUGGAGUGAUAGAGGUGGAGGAGUAAAACCAAAAGAAGUCCAAAGGCACAAGCUACCCUCCUUGAUGUUUAAAAGCCUGAAUAUGUUCCUCUUGUAAAUGCACAACAUAUACAAAAUGUGUGAUUCAAUGUAAUGAUUUUCUUAAAGUCUGCUGGAAACUAGUUUUGGUAACCAAACAAUGGAGUUGAUAGAUGGCUAUGAGAAAUGGAAUGUUUCUAUUGUAUUUAGUUUAGGGUUGUAGAUUCAGCUUAUCUUAUGUGUGAAAACAAGCCUUCUCUGCAGAACAUAGGCACUGAGGCUACAUUUACUCGUUGGCCACUGGAUGCCAGUGUUGCUCUGCAAAAACUGGUAGAGGGAAGCUUGGUUUUGUGACUACUGUUGCAAUGGCUGCUCUAAUAUCAGAAACAUUUUAUCACUUGUUUUCUAAACCAGAACAGGGAGUAAGAAAAGCACUACAUAAACUGUACACUUCAUGUUUUUCUUUCUUGAGAAACUGAGCACAAAGGAGUUGUUGAUUUAUAUUCUAUUCAUGUUAACAUACAAAAUAAGUUGUUAUGGCAGACACUGAUAUCUAAUGUAAUGAAAAUAACAUCAUCUUUGUGUUUAGUCUCUUUUAAACUGUCUUUAAUCUAUUUUGCUGCUGAUCUUUACUUUGGAGAAGCUUGGGGAAGGAAACAUUCUGUGCUGACUCAGAACUUAUAAUCCUGGCAUGGAUUAAACAGAAGUGUGGCAGUUUAAAGCAUCACGUAAAAAUGGACAAAAUUCAGGAUGUAUAGGACUUAUGAAUUUGAAGACAGUCUUCUUCUGUCUGGGAGAUACCAUACUUGAAGACACAGUGGGGAAAUAAGUUUAUUCACUGCCUUAAUUGUGUUAAGGUAUUUGUAUUUCCAAUCUUCUAAUGCUUAUCAGUUUUAAAUGAAGUUUAACUUAGUUUGAUGUCAACUGGUCUCUUUUGCCACAAAGAUUACUGCACAGAAUACUUAAAGGAGUGUACCACUGUGUACCUCACGCUGAAUGUUCAUUCAACAAUAAGAUACUGAAUCUGUCAAACCUAACUGUCAUACUGAAAUGCUCUUUCCUAUGUCAGUCCUGUAUGCCAUCCUGUAUGCUAUAGUUAGCAUGAAAAAUCAUUAUUUCUCAAAGAAGCAGCCUCUGGGCAAGUAAUCACCGGAUUAAAUGGAAAUGAUAAUGACUUCAUUAUUCAUCCUUAGCCUUGUCACACUUUUACUUUGCUCCCAGAAAAAGUAUAAGGCUUUCCCUUUAAGUGUUCCUUAGAAAUAGCUUUAGACUAGAAGUAGCUGGUUUAGGGCUGUAGGACAAUCUCUUCAGUUUUAUUAGCUGAUAUGGAAAAUUCUUUCGUUAAUUUCUCCAAAAGAUCCUUCUGUUGUAGAGGAAGUGAGAGGCUGUUUAACAGCAGGGCCCAUUUGUUGUAUUUUAGAGGAAAAGUUAUUUAAAAAAUAGCUAACUUUAAUUAGCUUUAUUGUAUUUCAAACCACAGAGUGCUGGCAGGGACUCAGAGGCUCAGCUAACUGGAUGGCUCGUAUUCAGUGACCAAAAACACUGUCCUGUUCAUUAGCUGGGUACUUGGAUUCCUGUUGCUGUUAGUCUUUAACUGUAAUGAGCACAACACAUAACUCAUGGUAAAGUGCUGUAAGGGCCCUGAGUAUUCUCUCUGCAGGAGGUGUAAGUGCUAAGAUUCAGGGCCAGCCUAGAGAUGGUGUGGCUGAAGGCAGACUCCUUACUCUCUGAUUUUUUAGAGAAAGUGCUGCCAGAUAGCACUGUGGGUAGGACUCACAAGGGCUUAUGCCUUUUUGUUUGUUGUUUGUUUGUUUUUUGUCUUGAGGGAACUGCUGUUAAGCUGAGGCUCUAGAGCUUUUCCUUACCUAAGCUCUGUGGAGCUCUGGCAGUGUCACACCUGGAGAUCACAGAAUAUCCUGAGUGUUGGAAGGGUUCCACAAGGAUCACUGAGUCCAAAUCCAUGAUCUAUGAAGUGCAUAGAAGACACUGGAGAAUGCAAAUGUUCUUGUUUAUUUUUUUUUAUUCUGCCUAUGUUUAAAAUGACUGUAAUAA
This is a long non-coding RNA of Meleagris gallopavo (turkey), 2520 nucleotides long. Lineage: Eukaryota; Metazoa; Chordata; Aves; Galliformes; Phasianidae. The record is from Ensembl.